RNAcentral lists this long non-coding RNA (329 nucleotides) under Brassica napus (rape). Its description in RNAcentral is "long non-coding RNA (BNAP_LNC001696)". The record is from RNAcentral. Lineage: Eukaryota; Viridiplantae; Streptophyta; Magnoliopsida; Brassicales; Brassicaceae.
AUAUAUCUAUAUAUUGUUUAUCAAUCUCAAUCAUAUUAUUAUAUUGAUACACAUAUCUUAUUUUUAAUUAAGUACUUAAUAAACUACACCAAUCCGAAAACAAUCUUUACUCUACAUAAAGUUACGUACAUAUAUAUUUUUUCAAAGCCUAAAUCGGUAAUCAUAUUUUGUUCCUUGUUGUCUUUUCCAUGCAUGGGACUAUAUCGCAAUCAAACAAAUUUUAAAUAAUCAUAAUCAUAAUUUUAAAUCGCAUUUUAAACCAUAAAAAUGUAAAAAAUGUAGCACUUUAAAUCUUGGUACUAAAAAACUCACACUUCAAACCCUCAAAC